RNAcentral lists this ribosomal RNA (379 nucleotides) under uncultured eukaryote. RNAcentral describes it as "partial 18S ribosomal RNA". It matches the Rfam family "Eukaryotic small subunit ribosomal RNA", at positions 592 to 976 of the family's 1831-position model. The record is from RNAcentral.
CAAUAGCGUAUAUUUAAGUUGUUGCAGUUAAAAAGCUCGUAGUUGGAUUUCGGAUGGGAUUUGCCGGUCCGUCGUUACGAUGUGCACUGGCCAGUCCUAUCUUGUUGUCGGGGACUAGCUCCUUGGAUUCACUUCCUGGGACUAGGAGCUGACGAGGUUACUUUGAGCAAAUUAGAGUGUUCAAAGCAAGCCUACGCUCUGAAUACAUUAGCAUGGAAUAACACGAUAGGACUCUGGCUUAUCUUGUUGGUCUGUGAGACCAGAGUAAUGAUUAAGAGGGACAGUCGGGGACAUUCGUAUUUCAUUGUCAGAGGUGAAAUUCUUGGAUUUAUGAAAGACGAACUUCUGCGAAAGCAUUUGUCAAGGAUGUUUUCAUUAA